GCUAAUUGAAUUUAAUUUGACUCAAUUAAAAUCCCCAAUUCAAUCUUUUUUUAACUCAAUUUCUAAUCCCAAUUUGAUCCAUCUCCUCAAUUUUAAUCUCAACCAUUCAUCAUAUUUGAACAAUGAUUAAUAUUAAAUCAGUUUUCGCUGUUUUUUAAAUCACAUACAAAAUCAAAACCCUAAUUUCAUUCCCAAUAAUUUCUGCCUCCUCACUCUCUCUCUAAACAACAUCACCACCACCGGCCGCCUAUGGUCGGUGGACCACUGUGCCCUGCCGCCUUUUCUCAUCCCUAUUCUUCAUAGCCGCCGCUACUCCACCAGUGGACCGACAAACUCCACCUCACCCUUUCUUUUUUCUCCUUUCUCUUCACCCCAAACAGCCGCCGUUCCACCAUUUUUUGGCCGUCGGGCCAUCAAUCAACCACCAAAAACACCAAGCCGCUGAUGGUAUCACUGUUUCUACUGUUUUCUUGUCCCAUUUUAGCUGGUGUUUCAGCUUCAGCUUCUUUAUUAGUUGGACUUGUUAAUGAAACAUGCAUACAAGAAAUCAUCUUCAAAUGAUGAACACUUAUCUCAAGAAGACAACCAAGAGGAUGAAAGUGAUGAUGACUCUGACGACGUGAAUGAAAGUGAUUCUAAUCCUGAUAACGUGGAUGAAAGUGAUUCUGACCCAGAUGGUUGGUAGUUUUAUUGAAGAUUCAAGUUUGAAAUAUUUUGUUUUGAACCAUUUAAGAAUCAUACGUUAUUGAUGUGGAUAUUAUGAAUUAUGUUUUUUUGUUAGCUGUAAUGGUUUACAUUAGACUUGUAUUGAAUGAUGUUUUUGAGAAUUAUUGAAGGUUUUAAUUAGAUUUUUGACUAA
Long non-coding RNA from Capsicum annuum, 859 nucleotides. RefSeq lists it as uncharacterized. The transcript is spliced from 2 exons. NCBI's taxonomy places the organism in Eukaryota, Viridiplantae, Streptophyta, Magnoliopsida, Solanales, Solanaceae. The record is from RefSeq and is a predicted model, not a curated record.